Molecule: ribosomal RNA, 630 nt
Filed under: Triticum aestivum (bread wheat)
Lineage: Eukaryota; Viridiplantae; Streptophyta; Magnoliopsida; Poales; Poaceae
Description: partial small subunit ribosomal RNA
Source: RNAcentral
AUGGCGCAGUUUGCAGGACAAGUUCUCAGCCCGACCUCUACCACGAUAUGGAAGACUUGGGCUCCGCCAAAAUGCAAAUUUUUUUCUUGGUUGAUCAUCCAAAAUCGUGUGUGGACGGCUGAUCGGUUGCAACGGCGGGGAUGGCCAAAUUGUGGCCUCUGCCCCCUUUGCAAGCAGGUUCAGGAGUCAGCUCCUCACAUUCUCUUCCAGUGCAGAUAUAGUGCCCGAGUUUGGAACGAUAUCAUCGCUUGGCUUGGCAUUCAUGGCCAAUCGACGACGGCUUGGCGUCAGGAGAUCUCUGUCCAGGACUGGUGGCUCAAGACGAUCAACUCUGGAGGCCACAUCAAGAAGGCCACUGCCUCCGUUAUGAUGCUUGUCUCAUGGGAAAUUUGGAAGGAGCGCAAUGCAAGAGUCUUCCGCAACACAGCCACUCCAACCACUAUCAUUGUCGCGAAAAUCAAAGAGGAGGCCCGCCUUUGGUCGUUGGCUGGAGCGAGCCACCUGAGUAAUCUUAUAUGUCGCGAGAGUAGUCUCUCCUUUGUUUCUGCCGUUUUACGGCUUAGGUCUAAAACCUUCUUUUUAAUUAAUGAAAUGGCAAGUCUUUUGCCUUGUUUCAAAAAAAAAACAUAA